AAUCUUCCGCACUGGACGCAAGUCUGACGGAGCAACGCCGCGUUAGUGAUGAAGGUUUUCGGAGCGUAAAACUCUGUUGUUAGGGAAGAACAAGUAUCGGAGUCACUGCCGGUACCUUGACGGUACCUGACGAGAAAGCCACGGCUAACUACGUGCCAGCAGCCGCGGUAAUACGUAGGUGGCAAGCGUUGUCCGGAUUUAGUGGGCGUAAAGCGCGCGCAGGCGGUCUUUUAAGUCUGAUGUGAAAGCCCCCGGCUCAACCGGGGAGGGUCAUUGGAAACUGGGAGACUUGAGUGCAGAAGAGAAGAGUGGAAUUCCACGUGUAGCGGUGAAAUGCGUAGAGAUGUGGAGGAACACCAGUGGCGAAGGCGACUCUUUGGUCUGUAACUGACGCUGAGGCGCGAAAGCGUGGGGAGCGAACA
This 422-nucleotide ribosomal RNA is filed under the name uncultured bacterium. RNAcentral's name for it is "partial 16S ribosomal RNA". It matches the Rfam family "Bacterial small subunit ribosomal RNA", at positions 360 to 774 of the family's 1533-position model. The record is from RNAcentral.